Molecule: ribosomal RNA, 509 nt
Filed under: uncultured bacterium
Lineage: Bacteria
Description: partial 16S ribosomal RNA
Source: RNAcentral
GGAGUUAGCCGGUGCUUCUUCUGUGAGUGAUGUCCUUCCUGCCGGCUAUUAACCCGCAGGCCUUCUUCCUCACUGAAAGUGCUUUACAACCCGAAGGCCUUCUUCACACACGCGGCAUGGCUGGAUCAGGGUUGCCCCCAUUGUCCAAUAUUCCCCACUGCUGCCUCCCGUAGGAGUCUGGGCCGUGUCUCAGUCCCAGUGUGGCUGAUCAUCCUCUCAGACCAGCUACGGAUCGUCGCCUUGGUGAGCCGUUACCUCACCAACCAGCUAAUCCGACAUAGGCUCAUCCGAUAGCGCGAGGCCCGAAGGUCCCCCGCUUUCCCCCGUAGGGCGUAUGCAGUAUUAGCCUGGGUUUCCCCCAGGGUUAUCCCCCACUACCGGGCAGAUUCCUAUGCAUUACUCACCCGUCCGCCGCUCGCCACCAGGGAGCAAGCUCCCCGUGCUGCCGCUCGACUUGCAUGUGUUAGGCCUGCCGCCAGCGUUCAAUCUGAGCCAUGAUCAAACUCUGA